UUUGUACUCCCUCUGUCUCAAAAUUCUUGUCUUAAAUUUGUCUAUGGAUGUAUCUAGUUACAUUUUAGUGUUAGAUACAUCCGUAUCUAAACAAAUGUAAGACAAGAAUUUUGGGACGGAGGGAAUACUAA
Triticum aestivum (bread wheat) is the source of this 131-nucleotide non-coding RNA. The record is from Rfam. Lineage: Eukaryota; Viridiplantae; Streptophyta; Magnoliopsida; Poales; Poaceae.